AUUGAACGCUGGCGGCAUGCCUUACACAUGCAAGUCGAACGGCAGCACGGACUUCGGUCUGGUGGCGAGUGGCGAACGGGUGAGUAAUGUAUCGGAACGUACCUUUCAGUGGGGGAUAACGUAGCGAAAGUUACGCUAAUACCGCAUAUUCUGUGAGCAGGAAAGCAGGGGAUCGAAAGACCUUGCGCUGAUUGAGCGGCCGAUAUCAGAUUAGCUAGUUGGUGGGGUAAAGGCCUACCAAGGCGACGAUCUGUAGCGGGUCUGAGAGGAUGAUCCGCCACACUGGAACUGAGACACGGUCCAGACUCCUACGGGAGGCAGCAGUGGGGAAUUUUGGACAAUGGGGGCAACCCUGAUCCAGCCAUGCCGCGUGAGUGAAGAAGGCCUUGGGGUUGUAAAGCUCUUUCGGCCGGGAAGAAAUCGCAUAGGCUAAUACCCUGUGUGGAUGACGGUACCGGAAUAAGAAGCACCGGCUAACUACGUG
RNAcentral lists this ribosomal RNA (484 nucleotides) under uncultured bacterium. RNAcentral describes it as "partial 16S ribosomal RNA". It matches the Rfam family "Bacterial small subunit ribosomal RNA", at positions 30 to 507 of the family's 1533-position model. The record is from RNAcentral.